Molecule: ribosomal RNA, 254 nt
Filed under: uncultured bacterium
Lineage: Bacteria
Description: partial 16S ribosomal RNA
Rfam family: Bacterial small subunit ribosomal RNA
Source: RNAcentral
UACGGAGGGUGCGAGCGUUGUCCGGAAUCACUGGGCGUAAAGGGCGCGUAGGCGGUCCGGUAAGCGCGCGGUGAAAGCCCGGGGCUCAACCCCGGGUCGGCCGUGCGGACUGCCGUGACUGGAGCGCUGUAGAGGCAGGCGGAAUUCCGGGUGUAGCGGUGGAAUGCGUAGAGAUCCGGAAGAACACCGGUGGCGAAGGCGGCCUGCUGGGCAGCAGCUGACGCUGAGGCGCGACAGCGUGGGGAGCAAACAGG